AAUCCUGAGGAGCGUUGCGACGACCUCGUGGUUCCCGCCCUGCACGGCAUCGUGCACACCCCGCGUGAAACCCGGUUCGCCAGGCUCAGGAAUCCUUGUUCAAGCGCCGCGCCUUGCGCGUCGCUACAGCAACGGCGCUCACCUUUG
This 147-nucleotide non-coding RNA is filed under the name Achromobacter piechaudii. RNAcentral describes it as "SAH sequence". It matches the Rfam family "SAH (S-adenosyl-L-homocysteine) riboswitch aptamer". Lineage: Bacteria; Pseudomonadati; Pseudomonadota; Betaproteobacteria; Burkholderiales; Alcaligenaceae. The record is from RNAcentral.